This 345-nucleotide unclassified non-coding RNA is filed under the name soil metagenome. RNAcentral describes it as "partial contains 5.8S ribosomal RNA, internal transcribed spacer 2, and large subunit ribosomal RNA". The stretch from base 1 to 120 matches the Rfam family "5.8S ribosomal RNA", at positions 35 to 154 of the family's 154-position model. The record is from RNAcentral.
GAUGAAGAACGCAGCGAAAUGCGAUACGUAAUGUGAAUUGCAGAAUUCAGUGAAUCAUCGAGUCUUUGAACGCACAUUGCGCCCCCUGGUAUUCCGGGGGGCAUGCCUGUCCGAGCGUCAUUGCUGCCCUCAAGCACGGCUUGUGUGUUGGGCCCCGUCCUCCGAUCCCGGGGGACGGGCCCGAAAGGCAGCGGCGGCACCGCGUCCGGUCCUCGAGCGUAUGGGGCUUUGUCACCCGCUCUGUAGGCCCGGCCGGCGCUUGCCGAUCAACCCAAAUUUUUAUCCAGGUUGACCUCGGAUCAGGUAGGGAUACCCGCUGAACUUAAGCAUAUCAAUAAGCGGAGG